RNAcentral lists this ribosomal RNA (253 nucleotides) under uncultured bacterium. RNAcentral describes it as "partial 16S ribosomal RNA". It matches the Rfam family "Bacterial small subunit ribosomal RNA", at positions 524 to 776 of the family's 1533-position model. The record is from RNAcentral.
UACGGGGGGGGCAAGCGUUGUUCGGAAUUACUGGGCGUAAAGGGCUCGUAGGCGGCCAACUAAGUCAGACGUGAAAUCCCCAGGCUCAACCUGGGAACUGCGUCUGAUACUGGAUGGCUUGAAUCCGGGAGAGGGGUGCAGAAUUCCAGGUGUAGCGGUGAAAUGCGUAGAUAUCUGGAGGAAUACCGGUGGCGAAGGCGGCAUCCUGGACCGGCAUUGACGCUGAGGAGCGAAAGCUAGGGGAGCAAACGGG